Long non-coding RNA from Salvelinus fontinalis (brook trout), 1380 nucleotides. RefSeq lists it as uncharacterized. The transcript is spliced from 2 exons. The record is from RefSeq and is a predicted model, not a curated record. Lineage: Eukaryota; Metazoa; Chordata; Actinopteri; Salmoniformes; Salmonidae.
UCCACAGGUGUUUGGUCGGGGUGGACGUAUACCCUGAAUGUCUAUAAGCAAGCCAACGGUUGCGAGUUUGAAUCUCAUCAGGGUACAACUUUAACAUUUGAGCCAAUUAGCAACUUUUCAACCAAUUACUACUGCUGAGCUACUUUGCAACUAUUUAGCAUGUUAGCUUUAAAUAAAGGUUAAAUGUUCUCCGCUUGUGCCCAAUAAAAGAGGCUACUGUUUGCUCAAUUAACUUAAGAAAUUCAAUAACUAAAAGACAGAAUGGAGUCUAUUGUAAACUCUUUACAGCAAUAGUCAUUUUGCGAUAUGCCUGUCGGGUGUCUCUGCUUUUCACUGACAGGCACAACCAUAACAAUUUGGUAUUUGCAGCGUGCGCUGCCCUUCUCGACUGUAGGCUAUGCCAUUUAAAACAAUCCCGCACUGUACGAUCUCGGCCACUCAUCUCUCUGGCUUGAAGUGUUCUCCUCAAACCACAAUGCUAAAGUUGGAGCUUAUUGGCUUGCAGUCAGUACGCACAUGUUUUAUGCAGCUGACAUGUAGUAAUGUUAAAUAAUGGGAUAUUAGCCUGGGCGCCAGGGGUGAAAGUAAUGACCCGUGUACACUAACUAGCACGCUGUGUAACACCUCUUCCCGUUCAUGUUCAAUGGAAGGAAAGCGGUGAAAAGUGGAGAGGGCUGGGGACAGUUGGGCGGCACGGACAUGGAGUGGGAGGCAGUGAAACCUUUCAACAUUUCCCAACUUUAUGCAAAUCAUUGGUGAUGACCAAUCAUAUCGAGUGGUUCCCAUGAUGCAUUUGACGCUAUGCGACCCAUCGCAGGAGACUUUCUUAAGCAAAGAUGGCUGACAAAAAUACUAGGAUGGAAGCAAAUGGAUUCCUGAGAGAACCAGCAAACAAGGCUGUCAUCAUGUGAAACAGUGGAUGUAAAGAAUCUAGCUAGCUAAAACAUUUAUUUCAAAUUGGAUGUAAAAUUUUGUAGGCUUGCCUUGCUGAUAUUUCCAAUGCAAUGCAGCUGAUGUAUUGUAGCUAGCUAACUAUUUUCUUGCUUAUUGUGUAGCGGAGGAUAAAAAAUACCUGUAUGCCUAUGGAUGUGUAGCUAGCUAUGUAGCCAAUCUGUGUAUGGACCCUAAAACGUUUGGUAUAAAUAUUAUUUCAGAACCUAUGAACCUCAGCUAUCAGAGCCAGUUGUAUCAACUUCAAAACAUUCUGAAUGACAUUAAUGAAGCGUAUGGAUCGAGUAGAAUAUAACUUUGUGCCAAGGAUGCAAGUCCUAUAUACAUGUAGUUAUUACCAAGCAUGAUAUCCCCACAGUGCAGCCUAUACAUUGGAUAUAUUCACUGAUCAUGUACUGUACCUUGGCAAAUAAAGGUGCUGUUCAGGUA